Molecule: non-coding RNA, 81 nt
Organism: Mycena alexandri
Lineage: Eukaryota; Fungi; Basidiomycota; Agaricomycetes; Agaricales; Mycenaceae
Source: the annotation of a GenBank genome assembly
GCACUCUUGGUGUAACGGUAACACACACUCACUGUUCCAAUUGGAUUCGAGUGGUCCCGGGUUCGACUCCCGGAGGGCGCC